Molecule: ribosomal RNA, 451 nt
Filed under: uncultured bacterium
Lineage: Bacteria
Description: bacterial SSU rRNA
Rfam family: Bacterial small subunit ribosomal RNA
Source: RNAcentral
UUCCAGACUCCUACGGGAGGCAGCAGUGGGGAAUAUUGGGCAAUGGGCGCAAGCCUGACCCAGCAACGCCGCGUGAAGGAAGAAGGCUUUCGGGUUGUAAACUUCUUUUCUCAGGGACGAAGAAAGUGACGGUACCUGAGGAAUAAGCCACGGCUAACUACGUGCCAGCAGCCGCGGUAAUACGUAGGUGGCAAGCGUUAUCCGGAUUUAUUGGGUGUAAAGGGCGUGUAGGCGGGAGCGCAAGUCAGAUGUGAAAACUCAGGGCUCAACCCUGAGCCUGCAUUUGAAACUGUGUUUCUUGAGUGCUGGAGAGGCAAUCGGAAUUCCGUGUGUAGCGGUGAAAUGCGUAGAUAUACGGAGGAACACCAGUGGCGAAGGCGACUUUCUGGACUGUACCUGACGCUGAGGCGCGAAAGCGUGGGUAGCGAACGGGAUUAGAUACCCGCGUACA